UAGAGUUUGAUUAUGGCUCAGGAUGAACGCUGGCGGCGUGCCUAACACAUGCAAGUCGAACGGGGCGCGCAGGCUGAGGCUUUUCGGAGCGGAAGCCUGCGCUGCCCAGUGGCGGACGGGUGAGUAACGCGUGGGCAACCUGCCCUGCACUGGGGGACAACAGCCGGAAACGGCUGCUAAUACCGCAUAUGCCCGCAGCCCCGCAUGGGGCGGCGGGGGAAGCUCCGGCGGUGCAGGAUGGGCCCGCGUCUGAUUAGCUGGUUGGCGGGGCAACGGCCCACCAAGGCGACGAUCAGUAGCCGGCCUGAGAGGGUGGGCGGCCACAUUGGGACUGAGACACGGCCCAGACUCCUACGGGAGGCAGCAGUGGGGGAUAUUGCACAAUGGGGGGAACCCUGAUGCAGCGACGCCGCGUGGGCGAUGGAGUGCUUCGGCAUGUAAAGCCCUAUCAGCAGGGAAGAAAAUGACGGUACCUGACUAAGAAGCCCCGGCUAAAUACGUGCCAGCAGCCGCGGUAAUACGUAUGGGGCAAGCGUUAUCCGGAUUUACUGGGUGUAAAGGGAGCGUAGGCGGCCUGGCAAGCCUGAUGUGAAAUACCGGGGCCCAACCCCGGGGCUGCAUUGGGAACUGCCAGGCUGGAGUGCCGGAGAGGCAGGCGGAAUUCCUAGUGUAGCGGUGAAAUGCGUAAAUAUUAGGAGGAACACCAGUGGCGAAGGCGGCCUGCUGGACGGUGA
This 734-nucleotide ribosomal RNA is filed under the name uncultured bacterium. RNAcentral's name for it is "bacterial SSU rRNA". It matches the Rfam family "Bacterial small subunit ribosomal RNA", at positions 1 to 739 of the family's 1533-position model. The record is from RNAcentral.